Salvia splendens (bonfire salvia) is the source of this 8635-nucleotide long non-coding RNA. RefSeq lists it as uncharacterized. The transcript is spliced from 21 exons. NCBI's taxonomy places the organism in Eukaryota, Viridiplantae, Streptophyta, Magnoliopsida, Lamiales, Lamiaceae. The record is from RefSeq and is a predicted model, not a curated record.
GCCUUCUUGAGUAAAAAAAAAGCCAAGGCUCGAAAAAAAUAUCGAGCGAAAAAUAGAAAUGAUAAAAGAAUGCUCAAAAGAAUAAGUUGACUUGGUUAGAUGGUCGAAAAAUCUCAUGUUUGGGUGUUGAGCUGUGAGAAAUUUGUACGCAUUGACUGAGAUGUGAAAGAUGUGAUGGAUGUGCUAGUAUUUUAAGAAUGGUGGUAAGCUACUUAACCAUAUAUUAUCCCACCUUUACCAAAAGCCCCGUUACAUCCCAAUGAAUAAGACCUUUUCAUUUAUGCAUCAUAUUGACUUGUGAGCGAUGAAUUUUGCUUGAAUUUGGGAGAAAGAUCUUAUGUGCUUAAAAUAAAGAAUAGCCAGAAGAACUUCUCUUUAGGAAUUAGUAACGAUGGUUUGAGACUCCCAAGACACAACUCGAACUUAUAUUGAAGCAUGGGAUGCCUAGGUCUUAAGGAAUUAGUUCGUGCACAAUUCUUGUUCAAAAGUUUUACCCGCGAGUGAAUUCACGGUCGACCUAAUUUCCCUACUGAUUCGUUGGCGUGACUUGAAGGAGAGGAUUAUCUAAUAUCUUCUGACUGUGCUUUAUUGUCUAACUUGCUCGAGGGCUAGCGAGACUUAAGUUAUGGGGGUGUUUGAUGUGGGUGGGUAAUUGUCUAACUUGUUCCUCGGAGUAUACAAUGGAAUGGAGGGUAGCGUAUUACUGCUCCAAGUCAGUUUUGACCACUUCGAUAUUAAGUUGGUCUUGCUGUGUCCAAAAUCUGAAGAUCACGAUACCAGGAUGUGUGGAAAGAAUUUCUAUUUGAGUCAGAUUAAAGAGCUGUGUGCCAAUCCUAUUGUAUUUGAGGCGACUGAGAUAAUUUCUAGAGCAGUCAUUUCAGCUGGAAUCACAAACAGAGUUGACACCGAUGAAUGGAAUCCUUCCACUGAUACACAUCUUCCUCGAUUGAUAACCUCUCUGGAAAUGUUGUGAUACACCCAAAAUUUUAAUUAUUAUUCCAGCAGUUGUGUUUGUCUACGACAGUUUGAUCAACUAGCACGGGACCAAGUUUUCUAUAGAUUGCAAACUUGAGUUUGCUCGUACUGCUUGCUCAUCUAAAUUCUGCUGCUGGGCUGCGCUGCAAGCAAAACUCGUUCCUUUGUUGAGAGCUCUACUUUACUGUUGAUCAAGUUCCAGAGAUGUCCACUGUUCUUCAAUAACCAUGUUCGAGCCUUGUUUCCAUUCAAUAUACAUCCAAAACAUGUUAUCCCAGCUAGCCAUAUUCUUUCCAAGUCUCUUUUCUCAGCCCUCUUACAAUCACUGCUCUUGAGGGCAUAAAAUCAAACACAGGGGAGAAAGCACUGGUUCUGCUUUCGGAUAGAAGUGUAGUGACAGUUCCCACAGAAGACCUUCUACCAACUAAUCCUCGGAUACUUAACUAAGUUGAUGAUCAUCCACAACUAAGUUAUUUGAGCGUUUAGUUCUUCACAAUCUUCAAUAUAGAUAUUUACAAGAUAAUUUAAAUAGAAUGGCAGGCUCUGGAUUUUUGUCCGUCAAUCCAUUUAAAAAUGUCUAGCUAUAUGGGGAUGAUAAAGAAAGAAGCUUUUGGACACUCCUCAUGCUUAUGCUGUAGCUGAUGCGACAUACAAUGCAAUGAUAGCAGAUGAAGUAAGCCUGGCUAUAAUUAUCAGGUUAGCUGCAGUUUUUGUUAUGAUAUUCUUCCUUACAGCAUGCUGUAGUUUUCUUUGUAAUAAAUAGUGUUUGCGUGAUUAACUUUAUUUACCACUAUUUGUUUGGUACCUGGUUUGAAGUUUAAGCUGAAAGGUUAAGAGAGUGGACGGAAGGGGCACAAAAUGAGGAAAUUGACUGAUAAGAAAGGAGGGAGGUGCAAAAACAAAGAAAAAAAAGAAAGAAAAACAGAAAAAAAGAAAGGAGGUGCAAAAAAGAAAAAGAAAAAAAAGUAAGAUGGAGAUGCAUGCAAAAAUAUAAGAUAAAGCGUUGUUGGUGGAGAUGGAAUCAAGAACUGUUACAAGGGAGAAAAGGAGUUGAUAUAGGUGAGGAAUGAGGCUGACAUAGGGGGGAACAAGAUGAGGAAGUUGCCUGAUAAGAAAGAAGGAGAUGCAAAAAAUAAGAAAGAAAGAAAGAAAGAAGGAGAUGCACACAAAGAAAGAAGAUAAAGAUCUGUUGGAGAGAUGAAAUCAACAACCUCAUGAACUAUUACAAGGGAGAAAAGGAGUUGAAGUAGGAGAGGAAUAGGAUGACAAAGUUCUGAACAUGCAAGGGAAGAAGAGAAAACUGCCAAGUCUAGGACAUGCUCCAGAUCCCAUGACGUGCAGAAGCUGACCAACACAAGGGCAAAUAAAAUCAAACUCAGGGGAGAAAGCUUUGGUUCUAGUUUCGGAUAGAAGUGUAGUGACAGUUCCCACACAAGACCUUCUACCAACCAAUCCUCGGAUACUUUACUAAGUUGAUGAUCUUCCACAACUAAGUUAUUUGAGCGAGCCUUUAGUUCUUCACAAUCUUCAGUAUAGAUAUUUACAAGAUAAUUUAAAUAGAAUGGCAUGCCCUAUAUUAUUGUCAGUCAAUCCAUUUAAAAUAUCCAGCUAUAUGGGGAUGAUAUAGCAAGUAGCUUGCUGAUGCAACAUGCAAUGCAACGAUAGCAGAUGAAGUAAGCCAAGCUAUAAUUAUCAGAUUUAUUUGCUACCACUUGGUUUGGUACUCUGUUUAAGUUAAAGGUGAAAUGGAAAGAGAGUGAAUGGAGGGACAAAAUGAGGAUGUUGGAUGAUAGAAAAGAAAGAGAUGCAAGCAAAGAAAGAAGAAAAAGAGCUGUUGGAGAAGAUGAAAUCAGUAACCUCAAAAACCGUUACAGAGGAUAAAAGGGUUGAAAUAGGAGAGGAAUGAGGCUGACACAGUUUUGGAGAUUCAAGGGAAGACGAGAAAUCAAGACAUGCAAAUGAGAAUGCAUACUUGACAAGGGAAAACUAGUGCCAGCAUUGUGGAGUACCACUAGCUGACAUCACAUGAUCUCUCAUCUACUUAUGAGGGCUUGCGAUAGAGAAUGCAGCUUGAUUUUUUGGGAACCUCAGAUUCUAUCAGAAUUUGUAAAGAAGACUAGAAACAUGCCUUCGAGAAGCUUGCUGCCGUUUUGUGACUGGGAACAUAUCAUUUCUUGUAAUUGAUAAUCAAAAGCACAUCAAGGUUGUUUCUGAUGAAGCCAUUACAAAUGCUGCUGGCUUGAUUGGCUCUAGUGAGCAAGACCUGAUUCUGACAAGAUCAGCCCGGAGGUCACCGAAUGUCUGACACAUGAACAGGCAACCGACACAAGAGAUGCAUUGGCAAUGUUUAUUUAUGUGAGCAUGUUCGACUGGCUUGUGGAGAAGAUAAACUUGUCACUUCCUAGGGGAAAGGUGAUAUGGGGUGUUCAGUAAGGACGCUUGUGGAGAAGAUAAACUUGUCACUUUCCUAGGGGAAAGGUGAUAUGGGGUGUUCAGUAAGGAUCCUUGAUAUGGAUUUGAGUAACUUAAGGUAUACAAUGAUUGAUAUUUUCCACAAUGUAUACUAUGGUGUGUUUUGUCCUAGUUUAAAUAAUCUUAGUUGGAUGGUUGCUUUUUUGCACCUAAAGAAUGGGUUUUUAGUAUGAACUGUUUUGCAUCAAUUAUGCUGACGAGCGGCUCCAACAUCAUUUCGAUCAACAUCUCGUCAAACACGGGCAAGAAGUAAGCAUCACAAAAGUUAUUACAGUUUAUUUCCUUCUGUCUUUCCUUCACAAAAUAGAGCGUGCAAGGAUUACAAUUUGUGAAUUCAUAAGUAAAUCUUUCUGCCUUAAUUAUCUGAAUCAUUAAUGCAUUAAUCAACUUAAUGUUAAUUGUUUUGAUUUCAAAUUGUGCAUUAAAUAUUUUAGCAUAACCCUUAUGAUAUAUGAAUUUUGUUAUUAGUUCUGAUGAAACAUAUUUACAAUCAAAAGAGUAUGAGUUGGAUGAAAUUGACUGGAAAAGGAUUUUGAAGACAACCAAGAUUUUGUAGGUCCUUUUGAGAAGGUAAUCAGGGUUCUUAUUUUUGUAUAGUAGGGUUUUCCUUUAUCACGCAGCUUUUGAUUGACAUAGUUCUAUUUAUGUCUAUGGGUGGGAUGGGGAGAAGGCCACUAAAGCCAUUUUCUGUUAAUCAGUAACACAUUAUCUACUAAUUGUAAUUUUAUUUUUGUCUGACCUUUACUUGCAUUUGUUGAAUAGAUAUGUUUUUAGUAUCGAACAAAUUAUGUCUCUUAACUUAUGGUGUGCUUGAUCAGACAUGUAUUGGAUUUAAUACUUAACAUUUACUUGUAAACUUAAACAUCACUUCAGUACUAACCGUUGGUUUAUGGAACACUUUAUCUUGGGUUAUUUUUGAGCUUUAAUUGUACAAUGCCAAUUUGGCCCACAUCUGUAGAGGAGAGACCAUCUACAGAAUCAGCCCUACCUCAAUUCCUUGGAGAGGAAGUUUUUAAUCCCCAAGUAUAAAAGCAAUGCUCUGCCCUUAUUGAAGGGGACGAGCAACCGGUAAGGAAAACAAAAAUCCUCCUUUUCCCUUUGAAUCUGUGACAGUUACAAUUAGUUAUAUUGAAUUCAUUUUCCACUUUUAAAUGCUUGCUAGCUAGUAGACAACAGAACAAAGCUUUGUCGAUGUUAGCUUUUCUUUUCUCUACCAAAGAAUGGUUGAGUUCUUUUGUCGCCAUGUUGCUAAGAUUCUGUUGUGAUUGCUCCAAUUUGUUAGUUUAGAAUUUCUGUAAGUUUUUUGAGAAGAUCUAUUGAAUUUCCAUGUUUCUGUAUAUUUUUACCAGCCUACCUAUGAUCUACUUGCAUUACUCUCUAUUUUAAGCACAUUAGUUUAGAAUUUUGCUAAGUUUCCUCUGCAUUUUUUUACCCCUUUAUAUAAUGUUUACUACAUGAGUUCUUUUGGAAGUUAGAGUUUGUAUGCUCUUAGAUUAAGUUGACUGAUCUCCAUUUUCUAGCCAUGUUUGUGAAGUUUCCAGCCCAUUGUCUUUCAUGCUUCAACUUUUGUUUAAUGUCCACAGUUUCCUAAAACAUGAUUUCUACUCUCUUUUGAAUCCAAGUUUAUUUAAUUUAGGUUAUAUUCUGUCUUUCAGUGUUCUCUUUCAAGCUUUCCUAAAGUAGGAUGGAAGUCUCGAUUUCCCACACUUAGUUAGAUUCAGUUUACGCUCUUAUUCCUAGUUCUCAUAUUUAAAAUUAUAGUUUCCCGCAUUAGUGUUUAGGUCCACUUUAAUCCUUAAGGAAGUGGUGGCUUACACCAAACCUCAUAUAAGCAACUUCAUUGUUGUUGGGAAUAUGUAAGGUGCUAAAAUAUAGACCUGUAAGCAUUCUUUUUAAUGGUCAAGUUGAACCUUGAAAAGAUAUUAUUUUUGUCUAUUCUUAGUCAUAUUUUUCUGACAUGGCUUUGCUAUUUUGCGCACAUCCAAUGUUAAAUUCUUCAAUUAUGAGCAAUCCUUGAAAAGGUGAGUAUGCAUUUCAAUAUCAGUGAGUUUGUUCCCUAGUCUGCAUAUUUAUGAUUAACUGGAAUUGACAUUAUUCCAUAUUUGACCGGUAAAGAAUUGUUCAGUUGUUCCAAGGAGAGUGGCACUACCACAUUUUCUAUAAGCUCUGCUGUGUUGUCCCUUCUGGUCCCCAAGCCUUAUAGUGAGCAAGACCUGAUGCUUACAAUGUCAGCGCAGAAGGUACGAGCGGGAAAUGAUGAGGUCACCAAAUCUCUGACACUUGAACAAGUUCAUAAUUUCAAAGAUCAAUAUUACUUGCAUAAUGCUUAUUUUCAGGAUGUUUUGAUUGCUAAACCGUCACACUUAUGAUCAACAUGUCAAUUCCACGGGGAAAGAUAACAUGGAGUUAAGGUAUACAAUGAUUAAUAUUUUCCUCAAUAUAUAUAUAUAGUAUGGUGUGAUUUAUCCCAUUGUAAAUAGUCUUUCUUUACCAAUCCACUUUAAUCAAUCUUACUUGUAGUCUUUGAUUGCUUUUUACCACCAGAAGAACAGCAUUUUUUACAUCUGUUACGCUGACGAGCGGCUCCAGAACCAUUUCAAUCAACAUCUCAUGAAAACUUGAGCAAGAACCAAGCAUCACACAUAAAAGCCUUUACAAUUUAUUUCCUUCUGUCUUCCUUCUCAAAAUAGCGCCUGCAAAGAUUACAAUUUGUGAAUUCAUAAGUAAAUUCUUCUGCCUUUAUUAUCUAUAUGAUUAAUAAACUUAAUGCUUACUUCUUUUCUUGCAAAUUGUGCAUCAAAUAUUUUAGCAUAAACUUUCUAAUAUAGGAAUUUUGCUAUUGGUGCUGGCGAAACAUAUUUACAAUCACAAGAGUAUAAGUUAUAUAUAAUAGACUGGAAAAGGGUAGAUUUUGAAAACAACCAAGAUUGUGUGGGAUCUGUGUUCUUAUUAUGGUAUAGUAGGGUUGUCCUUUUCCGAGCAGCAUUUUGACUGGCAUAGUUCUAUUUAUGUCUAUGUGUGCGAUGGGGAGACGGGGCACUAAUGUUAUUUUCUGUUAAUCAAUAACCCAUUAUAUCUGACUUUUACCUUAAUUUGUUGAAUAGAUAUAUUUUAGUAUUGAACAAAUUGUGUUUCCUUACUCUUAUGUUUACAAUGGUUUUCUUGAUCAGACACCUAUUGGAUUCAUAUCUAUAUUGCCAAAGCUACAUAUUUAACAUAUGCUGCUAAACUUCAGCAUCACUUCAGUACUAACCGUUGAUUUAAUGGAGAAACAGGUGGAACAUUCAGCAUUAAACAUCAUGCCGGGAUGGUUAGUGUACUUGUCAUUGUACUUUGUGGAAUAUUUGUACACAACCAAUAAUUUAGCUAAAGCAAGGGAACCUCUAGUAGGUUUGGCAUUUUUCAGUUUACAAAUAGAAUUUUGCUCUCAGCAACUCAUUGUUAGUGUUGACAUAUGGUUUUAGAGUGGGCGCUCUAGGAAUCUGAACAAAUAAAAUCAAACUCAGGGGGAGAAAGCUUUGGUUCUGUUUUUGGACAGAAGUGUUAGUUCAUUUAUUUUUUUCAUCACUUCACUGGUUUUGUUGUAUUCUACAAGAAUUUUGCACUUACUGCAUUAUCACUAUUGGUUGUGACAGUUCCCACAGAAGACCUUCUACCAGCCAUUGAGAAGAUACUUGACGAAGUUGAUGAUCAUGCACAAGCUAAGUUAUUUGAACAAGCCUUCAGUUCUUCACAGUCUUCAGCAUAGAUGUUUACAAUUACUUGCAUAUACCUUAGUUUGUUCUCUUUGUUUGAGGGAAAGCAUACAUCCAGUGUGAGAAGGUUUGGUGAGCCUUAUUUGUGACACUUUAUCUUGGGUUAUUUUGAGCUUUAAUUGUACAAAUACCAACAUAAUUCUCUGAAACUUGUGUAGCAAAUGGAGGAAAAUGAAUUCACUGGAAAAUGGAGUUUGGAAAUAACAGAAAAAUGCUGCAAAAAUGAGCUAAAAGGGAAAAAAUGGGAGUGCUAAUAGAAGAAUGGUUGAAUUCUAUCGUUGCUUGUUGCUAAGAUUCUGUUGUGAUUGCUCCAAUUAGUUAGUUUAGAAUUUCUGAAAGUUUGUUGAGAAGCUCUAUUGAAUUCCACGUUACUGUAUAUUUUUCUAGCCUACCUAUGAUCUACUUGCAUUGCUCUCUGUUUUAACCACAUUAGUUUAUAAUUUGCUAAGUUUCCUGUGAAUGUAUUUACCCCUUCAUAUGAUGUUUAUUACAUACUUCUUUUCGAAGUUGUUAAAAUCAAUUUCUAUGCUCUUAGAUUAAGUUGACUGGUCUCUAUUUUCUAGCAACUUCAUUGCUGCUGGGAAUAUGUGUGGUGCUAAAAUAUAGACAUUCCUUCAAAAGAAUUGUACAGGUUGUUCAUGAAGAGUGGUCCUAUCACAUUUUCUAUAAGCUCUACUUUGUGUCCCUUCCGGUCUCCAAGGUAGGCUGAGUUUAAGAAGUGCUUCUGAACGCAACUAUCUCAGUCCGAGUAAAUGUUUUCUGAUCCAAAACAUUGAUAAUGAACAAAACCUUCAUAAUCUUAUGGUCAAUGACAGGUCUUGAAUAUGCACUGUAUGGUUAGCUACACCCAUUUGUUUUUGUCGUACUCAGUCAUUAUUCAAGCACCCAACCACUUUUGUGUCUGGAGAGCCUUAGAUUCUAUAAAGAUGACCAGGAACGCCUCAAAAUGCUUGCUACAGUUUUGUGGCUGGGAAACAAAAGCACAUCGAGGUUUUUCCUGAUGAAGGUAAAUGCAAUUCUUUUUCCCAAUCCUUUGUAAUUAGUCCUCAUCUUUUCAAAACUUCAGUUUUUGUUGUGUAUUAUAUGGGAGAUAAUUAGUUACAUUGAAGGGAAAUUCUCAUUGGGGGUCUACUAUGGGAAGUUGUAAUUGUACUAGAGGAUUUGCUAGCAUUUCUAAUUUUUCUUUUAUAUAAAGUCGCGUAACAGAAUAAGGCAGUGCAGCUGCGACAGCUGCAACAUAUCAGAUUAGGUUAGAUAGCGUAUUAGGGCAGCGGUGGUGCGACAACGACAUAGCAAAUUCAAAUUAGGAGAAGCGAAUAAAUUGCAUAACCAAAGUAAGACAGAUUCCCAUAUGUGUAGGGGGAGUAGAAACCUAGGGCAACACUUAGAUACAAAAGAUAUUCUACAACAUUAAGAUUAUGUUUAUGCUUACC